Molecule: long non-coding RNA, 391 nt
Organism: Amblyraja radiata (thorny skate)
Lineage: Eukaryota; Metazoa; Chordata; Chondrichthyes; Rajiformes; Rajidae
Exons: 3
Source: RefSeq, a predicted model, not a curated record
UUUAAUUGUUUGGAGUAAAAAUUGUGGUGAAGUAGGCAGUGACGGAGGAUAUCCAAUUUUACAAGGUCUAUUAUCAAUUGGGAAGGUGGGGCAAGGAAAGGAAAUGUAACUGGCGAGUGUGAGAUGAUGCACAUUGGUAUGUCAGACGAGGACACGACUGACACAGUAAAUGCCAGAGUCCUGGAGAGUGUGACAGAACAAAGAUGUAAAAAUACGGGUGCAUGGUUCCCUGAAAGGGGCAAGUCAGGUAGGCAGGUGGUGAAUAGGCAUUUAGCAGCUUGCCUUCAUUGAGAAGGGCAUGGAGUACAAAGGUUGGGAUAUCAUGAUGCAGUUGUACCAGUCGUUGGUGAGAUAACACUUGAAGUACUGUGUGCAAUUCUGGUCACUCAGA